Molecule: ribosomal RNA, 494 nt
Filed under: uncultured bacterium
Lineage: Bacteria
Description: partial 16S ribosomal RNA
Rfam family: Bacterial small subunit ribosomal RNA
Source: RNAcentral
GACGAACGCUGGCGGCGUGCCUAAUACAUGCAAGUAGAACGCUGAAGGAGGAGCUUUCUUCUCUGGAUGAGUUGCGAACGGGUGAGUAACGCGUAGGGAACCUGCCUGGUAGCGGGGGAGAACUAUUGGAAACAAUAGCUAAUACCGCAUAAAAGUUAAUGUUGCAUGACGUUUGCUUGAAAAGUGCAAUUUCAUCACUACCAGAUGGACCUGCGUUGUAUUAGCUAGUGGGUGGGGUAACGGCUCACCACGGCGACGAUACAUAGCCGACCGGAUAGGGGAACCGGCCACACUGGAACUGGAACACGGCCAAGACUCCUAGGGAGGCAGCCGUAAGGGAUCCUUGCGAAAGGACGGAAGGCUGAACGAGGCAACGCGGGUGAGUGAAGAAGGGUUCCCGAUCGUAAAGAUUCGUUGUUAGAGAAGAAAGAGUGUGAGAGUGGACAGUGCACACUGUGACGGUACCUAACCAGAAAGGGACGGCUAACUACGUG